GACAGAGGAUGCAAGCGUUAUCCGGAAUGAUUGGGCGUAAAGCGUCUGUAGGUGGCUUUUUAAGUCUGCCGUCAAAUCCCAGGGCUUAACCCUGGACAGGCGGUGGAAACUACCAAGCUGGAGUACGGUAGGGGCAGGGGGAAUUUCCGGUGGAGCGGUGAAAUGCGUAGAGAUCGGGAAGAACACCAACGGCGAAAGCACUCUGCUGGGCCGACACCGACACUGAGAGACGAAAGCUAGGGGAGCGAAUGGG
Molecule: ribosomal RNA, 253 nt
Filed under: uncultured bacterium
Lineage: Bacteria
Description: partial 16S ribosomal RNA
Rfam family: Bacterial small subunit ribosomal RNA
Source: RNAcentral